This 440-nucleotide ribosomal RNA is filed under the name uncultured bacterium. RNAcentral's name for it is "partial 16S ribosomal RNA". It matches the Rfam family "Bacterial small subunit ribosomal RNA", at positions 338 to 795 of the family's 1533-position model. The record is from RNAcentral.
GCUACGCGGGGCAGCAGUGGGGAAUAUUGGACAAUGGGGGAAACCCUGAUCCAGCGACGCCGCGUGAGUGAAGAAGUAUUUCGGUACGUAAAGCUCUAUCAGCAGGAAAGAAAAUGACGGUACCUGACUAAGAAGCCACGGCUAACUACGUGCCAGCAGCCGCGGUAAAGCGGAGGGGGCAAGCGUUAUCCGGAUUUACUGGGUGGAAAGGGAGCGUAGACGGCAGCGAAAGUCUGGAGUGAAAUGCCGGGGCCCAACCCCGGAACUUCUCUGGAAACUGUGAAGCUGGAGUGCAGGAGAGGUAAGUGGAAUUCCUGGUGUAGCGGUGAAAGGCGUAGAUAUCAGGGGGAACACCGGCGGCGAAGGCGGCUUACUGGACUGUAACUGACGUCGAGGCUCGAAGGCGUGGGGAGCAAACAGGAUUAGAUACCCGGGUAGUC